GGGACACGUGGUAUCCUGUCUGAAUAUGGGGGGACCAUCCUCCAAGGCUAAAUACUCCUGACUGACCGAUAGUGAACCAGUACCGUGAGGGAAAGGCGAAAAGAACCCCGGCGAGGGGAGUGAAACAGAACCUGAAACCGUGUACGUACAAGCAGUGGGAGCACAGGUUUACCUGUGUGACUGCGUACCUUUUGUAUAAUGGGUCAGCGACUUAUAUUCUGUAGCAAGGUUAACCGCAUAGGGGAGCCGAAGGGAAACCGAGUCUUAAUUGGGCGUUAAGUUGCAGGGUAUAGACCCGAAACCCGGUGAUCUAGCCAUGGGCAGGUUGAAGGUUGGGUAACACUAACUGGAGGACCGAACCGACUAAUGUUGAAAAAUUAGCGGAUGACCUGUGGCUGGGGGUGAAAGGCCAAUCAAACCGGGAGAUAGCUGGUUCUCCCCGAAAGCU
Molecule: ribosomal RNA, 448 nt
Filed under: Salmonella enterica subsp. salamae
Lineage: Bacteria; Pseudomonadati; Pseudomonadota; Gammaproteobacteria; Enterobacterales; Enterobacteriaceae
Description: partial 23S ribosomal RNA
Rfam family: Bacterial large subunit ribosomal RNA
Source: RNAcentral